UGAAACACGGACCAAGGAGUCUAGCAUGUGCGCGAGUCAUUGGGAACAACUAAACCUAAAGGCGCAAUGAAAGUGAAGGUUCGCCUCGCGCGGACAUAGGGAAGAUGGGCGUGUCGCGUCUCAACGCGCCGCCCCGCACUCCCGGGGCGUCUCGUUCUCAUUGCGAGAAGAGGCGCACCAAGAGCGUACACGCUGGGACCCGAAAGAUGGUGAACUAUGCCUGGUCAGGACGAAGUCAGGGGAAACCCUGAUGGAGGUCCGUAGCGAUUCUGACGUGCAAAUCGAUCGUCGGAACUGGGUAUAGGGGCGAAAGACUAAUCGAACCAUCUAGUAGCUGGUUCCCUCCGAAGUUUCCCUCAGGAUAGCUGGCGCUCGUCGCCUACGAGUCUCAUCCGGUAAAGCGAAUGAUUAGAGGCAUUGGGGUCGAAACGGCCUCAACCUAUUCUCAAACUUUAAAUGGGUGAGAUCUCCGGCUUGCUCGAACUACUGAAGCCGCGAGACACGGAUCAGAGUGCCAAGUGGGCCAUUUUUGGUAAGCAGAACUGGCGCUGUGGGAUGAACCAAACGCCGAGUUAAAGCGCCUAAAUCGACGCUUAUGGGAUACCAUGAAAGGCGUUGGUAACUUAAGACAGCAGGACGGUGGCCAUGGAAGUCGGAAUCCG
RNAcentral lists this ribosomal RNA (662 nucleotides) under Apopylus cf. unumgarensis NLG-2013. RNAcentral describes it as "eukaryotic LSU rRNA". It matches the Rfam family "Eukaryotic large subunit ribosomal RNA", at positions 655 to 1270 of the family's 3401-position model. The record is from RNAcentral. Lineage: Eukaryota; Metazoa; Arthropoda; Insecta; Coleoptera; Cleridae.